Molecule: ribosomal RNA, 85 nt
Filed under: Carlito syrichta (Philippine tarsier)
Lineage: Eukaryota; Metazoa; Chordata; Mammalia; Primates; Tarsiidae
Source: RNAcentral
GUCUAGGGCCAUACCACCCUGAACGUGCCCGAUCUCGUCUGGUCUCCGAAGCUAAGCAGGGGCAGGCCUGGUUAGUACUUGGAUG